GAUGAACGCUGGCGGCGUGCCUAAUACAUGCCAGUCGAGCGAAGAGACGAUGAGCUUGUUCCUCUGACGUUAGCGGCGGACGGGGGAGUAACACGUGGAUAACCUAUCUAUAAUAGUGGGAUAACUGCGGGACACCGGAGCUAACACCUGAUACCAUGGUUAACCGCAGGGUUCAACAGUGAAAGACUGUCUUCUUGUGACGUAUAGACGGAUCCUCGCCGCAUUAGCUAGUUGGUAAGUUACCGGGUUAACAAGGCAACGAUGCGUAGCCGACCUGAGAGGGUGAGAGGCCAAACAGGAACUGAGACACGGUCAAGAGGCCUAGGCGAGGCAGGAGGGGGGAAGUUUGGACAAUGGGCGAAAGCCUGACGGAGCAACGCCGCGUGGGUGAAGAAGGUCUGAGGAUCGUAAGACUGUGUUAUUAGGGAAGAAGAAAUGUGUAAGUCACUCUGCACGUCUUGACGGUACCUAAACAGAAAGCCACGGCUAACUACGUG
Molecule: ribosomal RNA, 497 nt
Filed under: uncultured bacterium
Lineage: Bacteria
Description: partial 16S ribosomal RNA
Rfam family: Bacterial small subunit ribosomal RNA
Source: RNAcentral